GGUUAAGCGACUAAGCGUACACGGUGGAUGCCCUGGCAGUCAGAGGCGAUGAAGGGCGUGCUAAUCUGCGAUAAGCGCCGGUAAGGUGAUAUGAACCGUUAUAACCGGCGAUACCCGAAUGGGGAAACCCAGUGUGACUCGUCACACUAUCAUUAACUGAAUCCAUAGGUUAAUGAGGCGAACCGGGGGAACUGAAACAUCUAAGUACCCCGAGGAAAAGAAAUCAACCGAGAUUCCCCCAGUAGCGGCGAGCGAACGGGGAGGAGCCCAGAGCCUGAAUCAGCAUGUGUGUUAGUGGAAGCGUCUGGAAAGGCGCGCGAUACAGGGUGACAGCCCCGUACACAAAAGCGCAUGUGCUGUGAGCUCGAUGAGUAGGGCGGGACACGUGGUAUCCUGUCUGAAUAUGGGGGGACCAUCCUCCAAGGCUAAAUACUCCUGACUGACCGAUAGUGAACCAGUACCGUGAGGGAAAGGCGAAAAGAACCCCGGCGAGGGGAGUGAAAAAGAACCUGAAACCGUGUACGUACAAGCAGUGGGAGCACAGGUUUACCUGUGUGACUGCGUACCUUUUGUAUAAUGGGUCAGCGACUUAUAUUCUGUAGCAAGGUUAACCGAAUAGGGGAGCCGGAGGGAAACCGAGUCUUAAUUGGGCGUUAAGUUGCAGGGUAUAGACCCGAAACCCGGUGAUCUAGCCAUGGGCAGGUUGAAGGUUGGGUAACACUAACUGGAGGACCGAACCGACUAAUGUUGAAAAAUUAGCGGAUGACCUGUGGCUGGGGGUGAAAGGCCAAUCAAACCGGGAGAUAGCUGGUUCUCCCCGAAAGCUAUUUAGGUAGCGCCUCGUGAAUUCAUCUCCGGGGGUAGAGCACUGUUUCGGCUAGGGGGCCAUCCCGGCUUACCAACCCGAUGCAAACUGCGAAUACCGGAGAAUGUUAUCACGGGAGACACACGGCGGGUGCUAACGUCCGUCGUGAAGAGGGAAACAACCCAGACCGCCAGCUAAGGUCCCAAAGUCAUGGUUAAGUGGGAAACGAUGUGGGAAGGCCCAGACAGCCAGGAUGUUGGCUUAGAAGCAGCCAUCAUUUAAAGAAAGCGUAAUAGCUCACUGGUCGAGUCGGCCUGCGCGGAAGAUGUAACGGGGCUAAACCAUGCACCGAAGCUGCGGCAGCGACACUGUGUGUUGUUGGGUAGGGGAGCGUUCUGUAAGCCUGCGAAGGUGUCCCGUGAGGGAUGCUGGAGGUAUCAGAAGUGCGAAUGCUGACAUAAGUAACGAUAAAGCGGGUGAAAAGCCCGCUCGCCGGAAGACCAAGGGUUCCUGUCCAACGUUAAUCGGGGCAGGGUGAGUCGACCCCUAAGGCGAGGCCGAAAGGCGUAGUCGAUGGGAAACGGGUUAAUAUUCCCGUACUUGGUGUUACUGCGAAGGGGGGACGGAGAAGGCUAUGUUGGCCGGGCGACGGUUGUCCCGGUUUAAGCGUGUAGGUGUGUGUUCCAGGUAAAUCCGGUUCACUUUAACACUGAGGCGUGACGACGAGGCACUACGGUGCUGAAGCAACAAAUGCCCUGCUUCCAGGAAAAGCCUCUAAGCAUCAGGUAACAUCAAAUCGUACCCCAAACCGACACAGGUGGUCAGGUAGAGAAUACCAAGGCGCUUGAGAGAACUCGGGUGAAGGAACUAGGCAAAAUGGUGCCGUAACUUCGGGAGAAGGCACGCUGACACGUAGGUGAAGUGAUUUACUCAUGGAGCUGAAGUCAGUCGAAGAUACCAGCUGGCUGCAACUGUUUAUUAAAAACACAGCACUGUGCAAACACGAAAGUGGACGUAUACGGUGUGACGCCUGCCCGGUGCCGGAAGGUUAAUUGAUGGGGUCAGCGCAAGCGAAGCUCCUGAUCGAAGCCCCGGUAAACGGCGGCCGUAACUAUAACGGUCCUAAGGUAGCGAAAUUCCUUGUCGGGUAAGUUCCGACCUGCACGAAUGGCGUAAUGAUGGCCAGGCUGUCUCCACCCGAGACUCAGUGAAAUUGAACUCGCUGUGAAGAUGCAGUGUACCCGCGGCAAGACGGAAAGACCCCGUGAACCUUUACUAUAGCUUGACACUGAACAUUGAGCCUUGAUGUGUAGGAUAGGUGGGAGGCUUUGAAGUGUGGACGCCAGUCUGCAUGGAGCCGACCUUGAAAUACCACCCUUUAAUGUUUGAUGUUCUAACGUGGACCCGUUACCCGGGUUGCGGACAGUGUCUGGUGGGUAGUUUGACUGGGGCGGUCUCCUCCUAAAGAGUAACGGAGGAGCACGAAGGUUGGCUAAUCCUGGUCGGACAUCAGGAGGUUAGUGCAAUGGCAUAAGCCAGCUUGACUGCGAGCGUGACGGCGCGAGCAGGUGCGAAAGCAGGUCAUAGUGAUCCGGUGGUUCUGAAUGGAAGGGCCAUCGCUCAACGGAUAAAAGGUACUCCGGGGAUAACAGGCUGAUACCGCCCAAGAGUUCAUAUCGACGGCGGUGUUUGGCACCUCGAUGUCGGCUCAUCACAUCCUGGGGCUGAAGUAGGUCCCAAGGGUAUGGCUGUUCGCCAUUUAAAGUGGUACGCGAGCUGGGUUUAGAACGUCGUGAGACAGUUCGGUCCCUAUCUGCCGUGGGCGCUGGAGAACUGAGGGGGGCUGCUCCUAGUACGAGAGGACCGGAGUGGACGCAUCACUGGUGUUCGGGUUGUCAUGCCAAUGGCACUGCCCGGUAGCUAAAUGCGGAAGAGAUAAGUGCUGAAAGCAUCUAAGCACGAAACUUGCCCCGAGAUGAGUUCUCCCUGAGACUUAGAGUCUCCUGAAGGAACGUUGAAGACGACGACGUUGAUAGGCCGGGUGUGUAAGCGCAGCGAUGCGUUGAGCUAACCGGUACUAAUGAACCGUGAGGCUUAACCUU
RNAcentral lists this ribosomal RNA (2907 nucleotides) under Salmonella enterica. Its description in RNAcentral is "23S ribosomal RNA". It matches the Rfam family "Bacterial large subunit ribosomal RNA". RNAcentral also lists the same sequence under 2 other names. Lineage: Bacteria; Pseudomonadati; Pseudomonadota; Gammaproteobacteria; Enterobacterales; Enterobacteriaceae. The record is from RNAcentral.